RNAcentral lists this ribosomal RNA (459 nucleotides) under Streptococcus sp. oral taxon 074. RNAcentral's name for it is "bacterial SSU rRNA". It matches the Rfam family "Bacterial small subunit ribosomal RNA", at positions 28 to 471 of the family's 1533-position model. The record is from RNAcentral. Lineage: Bacteria; Bacillati; Bacillota; Bacilli; Lactobacillales; Streptococcaceae.
GAUGAACGCUGGCGGCGUGCCUAAUACAUGCAAGUAGAACGCUGAAGCUUGGUGCUUGCACCGAGCGGAUGAGUUGCGAACGGGUGAGUAACGCGUAGGUAACCUGCCUGGUAGCGGGGGAUAACUAUUGGAAACGAUAGCUAAUACCGCAUGACAACAGUUAUUGCAUGAUAACUGUUUAAAAGGGGCAACUGCUCCACUACCAGAUGGACCUGCGUUGUAUUAGCUAGUUGGUGAGGUAACGGCUCACCAAGGCGACGAUACAUAGCCGACCUGAGAGGGUGAUCGGCCACACUGGGACUGAGACACGGCCCAGACUCCUACGGGAGGCAGCAGUAGGGAAUCUUCGGCAAUGGACGGAAGUCUGACCGAGCAACGCCGCGUGAGUGAAGAAGGUUUUCGGAUCGUAAAGCUCUGUUGUAAAAGAAGAACGAGUGUGAGAGUGGAAAGUUCACACUG